GCCUGGUUGGCUCAGUCAGUAGAGCAAGUGACUCUUGAUCUCAGGGAUCAUGAGUUCAAGCCCCAUGUUAGGUG
Molecule: transfer RNA, 74 nt
Filed under: Felis catus (domestic cat)
Lineage: Eukaryota; Metazoa; Chordata; Mammalia; Carnivora; Felidae
Also listed under: 3 other names
Rfam family: tRNA
About the family: Transfer RNA (tRNA) molecules are approximately 80 nucleotides in length. Their secondary structure includes four short double-helical elements and three loops (D, anti-codon, and T loops).
Source: Rfam by way of RNAcentral